RNAcentral lists this ribosomal RNA (253 nucleotides) under uncultured bacterium. RNAcentral's name for it is "partial 16S ribosomal RNA". It matches the Rfam family "Bacterial small subunit ribosomal RNA", at positions 524 to 776 of the family's 1533-position model. The record is from RNAcentral.
UACGAAGGGGGCUAGCGUUGUUCGGAAUUACUGGGCGUAAAGCGCACGUAGGCGGCGCAGCAAGUCAGGGGUGAAAUCCCGGGGCUCAACCCCGGAACUGCCCUUGAAACUGCAGUGCUAGAAUUCUGGAGAGGCGAGUGGAAUUCCGAGUGUAGAGGUGAAAUUCGUAGAUAUUCGGAAGAACACCAGUGGCGAAGGCGACUCGCUGGACAGACAUUGACGCUGAGGUGCGAAAGCGUGGGGAGCAAACAGG